GUCAAGCGAAUAAGUGCAUGUGGUGGAUGCCUUGGCGAUUACAGGCGAUGAAGGGCGCGGCAGCCUGCGAUAAGCCCCGGGGAGCUGGCAAACAAGCUUUGAUCCGGGGAUCUCCGAAUGGGAAAACCCAACCCGCAAGGGUUACUUCCCGCUGAAUUCAUAGGCGGGAUAGAGCGAACCUGCUGAACUGAAACAUCUAAGUAGGCAGAGGAACAGAAAUCAACCGAGAUUCCGAAAGUAGUGGCGAGCGAAAUCGGAACAGCCUGCAACUUUUAGCCAUCAACUUAGCAGAACGGUCUGGAAAGUCCGGCCAUAGAGGGUGAUAGCCCCUUAAGCGAAAAGGUGAUGGUGGAGCUAAGGUUGCGACAAGUAGGGCGGGACACGUGAAAUCCUGCCUGAACAUGGGGGGACCAUCCUCCAAGGCUAAAUACUCGUAAUCGACCGAUAGUGAACCAGGUACCGUG
RNAcentral lists this ribosomal RNA (464 nucleotides) under uncultured beta proteobacterium. RNAcentral describes it as "bacterial LSU rRNA". It matches the Rfam family "Bacterial large subunit ribosomal RNA", at positions 1 to 505 of the family's 2925-position model. The record is from RNAcentral. Lineage: Bacteria; Pseudomonadati; Pseudomonadota; Betaproteobacteria.